Long non-coding RNA from Melanotaenia boesemani (Boeseman's rainbowfish), 108 nucleotides. RefSeq lists it as uncharacterized. Lineage: Eukaryota; Metazoa; Chordata; Actinopteri; Atheriniformes; Melanotaeniidae. The record is from RefSeq and is a predicted model, not a curated record. The transcript is spliced from 3 exons.
AGCAAUGAAUCACUCCCUUUCUGGUUUGAGGUUUGAAUUAAACAAACGGAUCCCAGUAAACAAAUCCUCUUCUAAUAUUGGUACCAUGGAAAAAAAAAAGUUUGAGAU